UACGUAGGGUGCAAGCGUUGUCCGGAAUUAUUGGGCGUAAAGAGCUCGUAGGCGGUUUGUCGCGUCUGCUGUGAAAACUCGGGGCUUAACCCCGGGCCUGCAGUCGAUACUGGCUGGCUUGAGUGCGGUAGGGGAGACUGGAAUUCCUGGUGUAGCGGUGAAAUGCGCAGAUAUCAGGAGGAACACCGGUGGCGAAGGCGGGUCUCUGGGCCGUAACUGACGCUGAGGAGCGAAAGCGUGGGGAGCGAACAGG
Molecule: ribosomal RNA, 253 nt
Filed under: uncultured bacterium
Lineage: Bacteria
Description: partial 16S ribosomal RNA
Rfam family: Bacterial small subunit ribosomal RNA
Source: RNAcentral